UAGCACAUUAUUUAUUUUUAAAAUAAUUAUUUAUUUAUUUGAAAGGCAGAGAGAAAGGGAGAAAGAAAUCUUCCAUUUGUUUGUUCACUCCCCAAAUGGCCACAAUGGCUAGGGAUGGAUCAGGCUGAAGCCAAAAGCCUGGAACUCUAUCUGGAUCUCCCUCAUGGGUAGCAGGGAUCCAAAUCUUUGAGCCAUCUUCCGCUACUUUCUCUGGUGCAUUAGUGUGAGCUGGAUUAGAAGCAGGGAGGCUUCUAAUGGAAUUCUGGCUCCAUAUGGGAUUCUGACAUCACAGGCAGUGGAUUAACCCACUAUGCCAAAAUGGCUAUCCCUGGGGGAACACUUGAGAACAUCUACCAUACUACCUUGAAUGAUCACUGUGGAUUAGGGAGAGAAGAGGAAGGCGAGAGAAAGAAAUGGAGGGAGAAAGAGAGAGGGAGGGAGAAUCUCGGUCUAUAGUUAGAACUGUGUAAGUGUUGCCUGUUAUUUUUGAGCAAAUAGACAGCCUCAUUUAAAAUAUGUCUAUGUGGAAAGAAAAGAUGAACUGAGAGGAAAACUAGGAAAAGUGGGGAAAGUUGCUACAGCAAAAUUUUAAAACUUUACUUGAGAGAGAGAAAGAGAGAGAGAAACAAGAGAGCACUCUGGUUUGCAGGUUCAUUCUCCAAAUGCUCAGAAGGGCCAGGGCAUACCCUAAAGCCUACAACCCAGAAAUAUAACCUAGGCCUCUCAUGUGGAAAACAGAAACUCAAUUACUUCAGCCAGGAAUUAAGAGCCAGCACCAGUGAAAUGAAAUUUGUGGAGCAUGAUUCCCCAGCAUGAAAGUCUAGACUUGUGGAGCUGAAGUAUACAGAUCUUUAACCUAGCAAGAAUGUCCUAAAAACCUGGUAAGUGAAACCUGCAUUAACAUUUUUAAAAAGCAUUACAGAUUAUUGACUUUACUAAGUGUUCAUGUCAUAAUAUAUAUUAUUUAAAUGCUAAGACUGCAUAUGUUUCAAAUGUGAUUCAACAACUCCAAAUUCACUCUUUUCAGGACCACAUAGAAAACACUUUGGGAGAUAAAACUGAACAUGAACUAGAAAUGUUGUGAAAUUAAUGUUUUCAUUGAAGAAAUGGCCAUCAUAUAUGAAGAACAUUAAUUUGUAUCUACUAAAAGUCGACCAACUACAUGAUAUUAAAUUCCAGUUGCUCAAGAUAGAUUUUAGUGCUUAUUAACAAAAUAUGCUCAUUGUUUUUUGGAAAUGGUCUGAAGCUGUAAUAUGAGAAAUAUUUGCUAGGUAAGAUAAUGAACUUUCUGACAGAGGUUUUUAAACACUGAGGCAGGUAAGUAAGUGACCUGUAAUCUCUUUCUAGGAAUCUCUGACAAACUGAAUUCACACUCAUCAACAAACACAUGGUAGGUGCAACUUCUUAAAAGUAUAAUAUUUGAAACCCUCUCCCAACUAUUUUUGGACAGUUAUUCUGUCUUGUGUUGCAUGUGCUAUAUGUGUGAGUAGGAGGGAGACAUAAGUGCAAUAGUUGUUCCUUGCUUUUACUGUGGAGUCAAUUGCAUGCCUCACCAUGCUUUUCCAAGGGCAAUCAUUAUGCCAUAUGAUGGUGUUCUGCUUGCUCUCCUAACAAGAUGAUAUUGUUUGUAAGGGAUGUACCAUCACCCUUUUGGCCUAGGAGCCAA
This is a long non-coding RNA of Oryctolagus cuniculus (rabbit), 1666 nucleotides long. NCBI's taxonomy places the organism in Eukaryota, Metazoa, Chordata, Mammalia, Lagomorpha, Leporidae. The record is from Ensembl.